CCUACGGGAGGCAGCAGUGGGGAAUCUUGCGCAAUGGGCGAAAGCCUGACGCAGCGACGCCGCGUGAGGGAUGAAGGUCUUCGGAUCGUAAACCUCUGUCAGCAGGGAAGAACGGUCACUGUGCUAAUCAGCAGUGAAUCGACGGUACCUGCAAAGGAAGCAACGGCUAACUCCGUGCCAGCAGCCGCGGUAAUACGGAGGGUGCGAGCGUUAAUCGGAAUUACUGGGCGUAAAGCGCUCGUAGGCGGUAUGUCAAGUCAAGGGUGAAAUCCCCGGGCUCAACGUGGGAACUGCCUUUGAAACUGGGAGACUGGAGUGUGUGAGAGGAUAGUGGAAUUCCAGGUGUAGGAGUGAAAUCCGUAGAUAUCUGGAGGAACAUCAGUGGCGAAGGCGACUAUCUGGCACAUAACUGACGCUGAGGAGCGAAAGCGUGGGUAGCAAACAGGAUUAGAUACCCGGGUAGUC
This 465-nucleotide ribosomal RNA is filed under the name uncultured bacterium. Its description in RNAcentral is "partial 16S ribosomal RNA". It matches the Rfam family "Bacterial small subunit ribosomal RNA", at positions 338 to 795 of the family's 1533-position model. The record is from RNAcentral.